ACGGCUCCACAAAGAUGGGCGGCAAGAAGAAACAUCCUGCCAUCGAUAAGGUGACCCGAGGGUACACCAGCAACAUUCAGAAGCACAUCCAUGGAGUGGGCUUCAAGAAGCAUGGCCCUCAGGCACUCAAAGAGAUCCAGAAAUUUGCCAUGAAGGAGAUGGGAAUUCUAGAUGUGCGCAUUGACACCAGGCAAAACAAAGCUGUCUGGAACAAAGGAACAAGCAAUAUCUCAUAGGAUCCCAUAUGUGGUUUUCCAGAAAACAUGAUGAGGCUGAACAUUCACCAAACAAGCUCUAUACAUUGAUUACCUAUGUGUCUGUCACCACUUUCAAAAAUCUGUCGAAAGUCAGUGUGGACAAGAACUAA
Molecule: long non-coding RNA, 367 nt
Filed under: Homo sapiens (human)
Lineage: Eukaryota; Metazoa; Chordata; Mammalia; Primates; Hominidae
Description: non-protein coding lnc-MUC20-11:1
Source: RNAcentral